UAUGGAACUGUCAGGCUUUGUGCUGCCUU
Molecule: small RNA, 29 nt
Filed under: Bombyx mori (domestic silkworm)
Lineage: Eukaryota; Metazoa; Arthropoda; Insecta; Lepidoptera; Bombycidae
Description: ovarian small RNA-6650
Source: RNAcentral